RNAcentral lists this ribosomal RNA (1279 nucleotides) under Clinostomum sp. USA-PO-2003. RNAcentral's name for it is "eukaryotic LSU rRNA". It matches the Rfam family "Eukaryotic large subunit ribosomal RNA", at positions 68 to 930 of the family's 3401-position model. The record is from RNAcentral. Lineage: Eukaryota; Metazoa; Platyhelminthes; Trematoda; Strigeidida; Clinostomidae.
ACCAGGAUUCCCCUAGUAACUGCGAGUGAAGAGGGAUUAGCCCAGCACCGAAGCCUGUGGUCAUUUGACUGCUAGGCAAUGUGGUGUUUAGGUUGGUUCUUGGCAUUACUGCUCCACCCUAAGUCCAGCAAUGAGUACGGCUUACUGGAUUGGCCCAUUGAGGGUGAAAGGCCCGUGUGGGUGGAGACUCAGACUGUCAGUUUUGCCCUGAAUUAACCUUGGAGUCGGGUUGUUUGUGAAUGCAGCCCAAAGUGGGUGGUAAACUCCAUCCAAGGCUAAAUACUGGCACGAGUCCGAUAGCGAACAAGUACCGUGAGGGAAAGUUGAAAAGUACUUUGAAGAGAGAGUAAACAGUUCGUGAACCCGCUCAGAGGUAAACGGGUGGAGUUGAACUGGAAGCCCUGUGGAUUCAGCUGAUGAGUAUGGCAUGAGCUUGGGCAUAUUGGUCGGCUUUCAGAGUCCGCUUAGCUGCGGGUCCUUGCCCUAACGGGUUUGGAUGUGCGUUACGCUUAUUAGGCGUUGUGCGCUCUGUCUGUUCCGGGCCUGCUCGUCAGUGCACUUCCUCAGGGUGUUCACCACGACCGGCGCUGCUGUCUGUCUGUUACGGUCAAACCGGUUAGGCUUAGUCAUUUUGGCUAGGUUUGGUCGGGAUGGCAGGUGGCUCUUGAGAUUUUCUAGCUUCGGCUGGUUUAGCUCUUGAGUGUAAUUAGCCGACUGUAAUGGAUCUGUGCGGUGCGUCGGAGCUGGCGGCUUUGGUGUGUGUACGCGUGCUGUAGCUUACUGGCUUGGUCAAGUUUGGUUAAUGUGUUACCUGCUUCGGUGGGUCUAUUAAUGGCUUGACUUUGCAUAGUGGGUGGUGGCGCGUGCGACGCUAGCUAGGGCCAAAAGUCUGUGGUGUUGUGGUAAACUAUCCACCCGACCCGUCUUGAAACACGGACCAAGGAGUUUAACAUGUACGCGAGUCAUUGGGCGUUACGAAACCCAAAGGCGUAGUGAAAGUAAAGGUUCGGCUUGUCCGAGCUGAGGUGAGAUCCUGCUGUUUCUCUGCCUUGGACUACCAAGCAUUCGAGCAGUAGGCGCAUCACCGGCCCGUCUCAUGAUGUAGUCAUAUGACCUUUGGUUGUGUGCACCUUCGGGGCGGAGCUAGAGCGUACACGUUGAGACCCGAAAGAUGGUGAACUAUGCCUGCGCAGGUUGAAGCCAGAGGAAACUCUGGUGGAGGACCGCAGCGAUUCUGACGCGCAAAUCGAUCGUCUAACGUGGGUAUAGGGGCGAAAGA